AUUGAACGCUGGCGGCAGGCCUAACACAUGCAAGUCGAGCGAGCGGCGGACGGGUGAGUAAUGUCUGGGAAACUGCCUGAUGGAGGGGGAUAACUACUGGAAACGGUAGCUAAUACCGCAUACCAUCAGAUGUGCCCAGAUGGGCUUAGCUAGUAGGUGUGGUAACGGCUCACCUAGGCGACGAUCCCUCGCUGGUCUGAGAGGAUGACCGGCCACACUGGAACUGAGACACGGUCCAAACUCCUACGGGAGGCAGCGGUGGGGAAGAUUGCACAAUGGGCGCAAGCCGGAUGCAGCCAUGCCGCGAGUAUGAAGAAGGCCUUCGGGUUGUAAAGUACUUACAGCGGGGAGGCGUUACCCGCAGAAGAAGCACCGGCUAACUCCGUGCCAGCAGCCGCGGUAAUUC
This 406-nucleotide ribosomal RNA is filed under the name uncultured bacterium. RNAcentral's name for it is "partial 16S ribosomal RNA". It matches the Rfam family "Bacterial small subunit ribosomal RNA", at positions 30 to 526 of the family's 1533-position model. The record is from RNAcentral.